AGAGUUUGAUCCUGGCUCAGAGCGAACGCUGGCGGCAGGCCUAACACAUGCAAGUCGAGCGGUCGUAGCAAUACGGCAGCGGCAGACGGGAGAGUAACACGUGGGAACAUGCCCUUCAGUACGGAACAACCAAGGGAAACUUUGGCUAAUACCGUAUACGCCCGUAAGGGGAAAGAUUUAUCGCUGAAGGAUUGGCCCGCGUCUGAUUAGCUAGUUGGUGAGGUAAUGGCUCACCAAGGCGACGAUCAGUAGCUGGUCUGAGAGGAUGAUCAGCCUCACUGGGACUGAGACACGGCCCAGACUCCUACGGGAGGCAGCAGUGGGGAAUAUUGGACNAUGGGCGCAAGGCCUGAUCCAGCCCUGCCGCGUGAGUGAUGAAGGCCUUAGGGUUGUAAGCUC
This 399-nucleotide ribosomal RNA is filed under the name uncultured bacterium. Its description in RNAcentral is "bacterial SSU rRNA". It matches the Rfam family "Bacterial small subunit ribosomal RNA", at positions 8 to 433 of the family's 1533-position model. The record is from RNAcentral.